UCAGCGCCGAAGAAGCGAAAGUGACGGUAGGCGCAGAAGAAGCACCGGCUAACUACGUGCCAGCAGCCGCGGUAAUACGUAGGGUGCGAGCGUUGUCCGGAAUUAUUGGGCGUAAAGAGCUUGUAGGCGGUUUGUCGCGUCUGCUGUGAAAACCCAGGGCUUAACCCUGGGCCUGCAGUGGGUACGGGCAGACUAGAGUGUGGUAGGGGAGACUGGAAUUCCUGGUGUAGCGGUGAAAUGCGCAGAUAUCAGGAGGAACACCGAUGGCGAAGGCAGGUCUCUGGGCCACUACUGACGCUGAGAAGCGAAAGCAUGGGGAGCGAACAGGAUUAGAUACCCUGGUAGUCCAUGCCGUAAACGUUGGGCGCUAGGUGUGGGACUCAUUCCACGAGUUCCGUGCCGCAGCUAACGCAUUAAGCGCCCCGCCUGGGGAGUACGGCCGCAAGGCUAAAACUCAAAGGAAUUGACGGGGACCUGCACAAGCGGUGGAGCAUGUGGUUUAAUUCGAAGCAACGCGAAGAACCUUACCAGGCCUUGACAUGCCAGGAACCCCCAGGAGACUGGGGGGUGCCCUUCGGGGAGCCUGGACACAGGUGCUGCAUGGCUGUCGUCAGCUCGUG
RNAcentral lists this ribosomal RNA (620 nucleotides) under uncultured Nostocoides sp. RNAcentral's name for it is "bacterial SSU rRNA". It matches the Rfam family "Bacterial small subunit ribosomal RNA", at positions 434 to 1064 of the family's 1533-position model. The record is from RNAcentral. Lineage: Bacteria; Bacillati; Actinomycetota; Actinomycetes; Micrococcales; Intrasporangiaceae.